RNAcentral lists this ribosomal RNA (176 nucleotides) under uncultured Methanomicrobiales archaeon. Its description in RNAcentral is "partial 16S ribosomal RNA". It matches the Rfam family "Archaeal small subunit ribosomal RNA", at positions 1164 to 1338 of the family's 1478-position model. Lineage: Archaea; Methanobacteriati; Methanobacteriota; Methanomicrobia; Methanomicrobiales. The record is from RNAcentral.
UCUGGGCUACACGCGGGCUACAAUGGGUGGGACAAUGGGUAUCGACACCGAAAGGUGAAGGCAAUCCUCCUAAACCCAUCCGUAGUUCGGAUUGUGGGCUGCAACUCGCCCACAUGAAGCUGGAAUCUGUAGUAAUCGUGUCUCAAAAUGGCACGGUGAAUAUGUCCCUGCUCCUU